This 76-nucleotide transfer RNA is filed under the name Minisyncoccota bacterium. RNAcentral describes it as "tRNA-Val". It matches the Rfam family "tRNA". From Rfam's summary of the family: Transfer RNA (tRNA) molecules are approximately 80 nucleotides in length. The record is from RNAcentral. Lineage: Bacteria; Bacillati; Minisyncoccota.
GGGCGAUUAGCUCAGUUGGUAGAGCACCCCGUUUACACCGGGAUGGUCAGAGGUUCGAGUCCUCUAUCGCCCACCA